GAGGUCCCAAGUUCUCCUCAGCCCUCUAUUCCCCCAAUUCCUGACAUUCCCUAGGACCCUGUGAUGCCCUUGAUUUUGCUUGUAGAUUUGGGAGGAUGGUUCUGAGACGUUGCUGUAUCAGGGAAAGAACCCCAUGUUGACCAUUCUUUCAUUGACUCCAGAUAAUUCUGGUUCCUACCGCUGUGAACUGGGUUCGGUGAGCUCUGGCCCAUCCACGAUCAUUCAUUAUCUCGUCACAGUUUUGCCCCCAAAUGCUACAGAGGAGUCACCAACAACAAGCAUCCUCUUUGGGAGUGAGACAGAGUCAGGGACACAAGGUGCAAAUGUCACUGGUGAGACCAGUCCAGCCGUCCCUGGUGGGACAGGCCCAGCUUCCCCAACGGUCCAGGGUGAGACGGGCCCAGGGGUUCAGGGUGAGACAGCCCCACUCCAGGGUGAGACGGGCCCAACAGAACAGGGUGAGAUGGGCCCAAACCAGGAAGAUACGGGCUCAACAGAACAGGGUGAGACUGCCCCACUCCAGAAUGGUAUGGGGUCACUGGCCCAAGGUGAGACGGCCCCUCAAGUCCAGGGUGAGACGGCCCCACUCCAGGGUGAGAUGACAUCUCCAGACCUGGGUGAGACGGCUCCAGUUGAGGCUGAGACAGCUCCACUUGAGGCUGAGACAGCCCCACUUCAGGGUGAGACGACCCAGCCGGCCCAGGGUGAGACGACCCAGUCGGCCCAGGGUGAGACGACCCAGCCGGCCGAGAGUGAGACGACCCAGCUGGCCCAGGGUGAGACGACCCAGCUGGCCCAGGGUGAGACGACCGAGCCAUUCCAGGUGGAGACUGCCCCACUGCAGGGUGAGAUGGCUCCAGGUGAAGGUGAGAUGGCCUCCCAGUUCCAGGGUGAGACAAACCAGGUUGAAACAGCACCACUGGAGGAGGAGACAGCCCCGCCAUUCCAGGGAGAGACUGCCCCACUGCAGGGUGAGAUGGCUCCAGGUGAAGGUGAGUCGGCCUCCGAGGUCCAGGGUGAGGCAGCUCCACCAAACCAGGAUGAAAUGGCACCAUUCGAAGAGGAGACAGAACUAGGUGAUUUUGAAAUGGGCCAACCACUCCAGAAUGAGAUGGCCCCAGGACAGGGUGAGAUGACUCCCUCAGAACAGGUGGAGACUGCCCCACUGCAGGGUGAGAUGACUCCCCCAGGCCAGGGUGAAACUGCCCAGUUCCAAGGUGAGAUGGCCACACCAGUCCAGGGUGAGACAUCUGCAGCUCAGGGUGAGACUACCUCACCAAUCCAGGCCGGGAUGGCCCAACUCCAGAAUGGGGCAGCCCUAGUCCAAGAUGAGACAGCCCCAUUCCUGGGAGAGACGGCCGCACUUGUAGGUGACAUGGCUCCACUUGAGGAGACCUCAGUACGCCCGAAUCCAGGAGAAUUGGAGUCUUCGACCACGAACCAACAGCCUGAGCAGGCCAAGGGUGUGCAGCAAGGCCAAAACCUUGGGCUGAUCAUCGCUUUACCUCUACUCCUGAUACUAGGCCUUAUUCUUUGCCUGCUUUACUGGCGAAAAUCGAAAGAGAAACAAUCUUCAUAGCUCAGCCUUUGAAAAUUCAGCUUCCUAACCGUCAAAGACAAGGGCUUCAAAAGAGAAAAAUAAUUAAAUACGUGUCUUGUGGUCUAAGUAUUUGACUCAAUCCUCUUGACUGAAUAAUACCUUAGGUUCCCC
Long non-coding RNA from Ictidomys tridecemlineatus (thirteen-lined ground squirrel), 1711 nucleotides. Lineage: Eukaryota; Metazoa; Chordata; Mammalia; Rodentia; Sciuridae. The record is from Ensembl.